This is a non-coding RNA of Chlorocebus sabaeus (green monkey), 1059 nucleotides long. Lineage: Eukaryota; Metazoa; Chordata; Mammalia; Primates; Cercopithecidae. The record is from RefSeq and is a predicted model, not a curated record.
CUAGCGGGUGUCCUCCUCUGCAGAGCCGUGGGACUCGAGCGCCUUCAUCACUGGACGUUGGAAGCCAGGAAGGAAACCCAUACACUCAGGGACAGCCCGGGCGCCGCGGUGGCACCGAGCUGGGAGAGGACGAGAGGCUGGCGCGGGAGAAGCCGAGAGUUGCUACCGACUGGGAGCUGCCGGCGGCGGGAGCAGACGCGACCCUCGCCGCUUUCGAACGCGAAGCCGGGGAGAGCCGAGCUCGGCUGCUGGGGCUCGGCUCCCCGCGCUCUGCCUUGCCCUUUCGGCGGAGGGCAGCUCCCUGCCUGCUGCAGCCCCGCCACUGUGCGCCCGGCCGCCCCGGGGUGCGCCCAGCCCGCCCCCCGAGCGGCCGCCGGGACUCCAGCAGUUGGACCGACCCUCGCCCUCCGGCGCCUGGACAAACUUCCUUCCUCCCGGGCCCCAGCGCCGAGCAGGCUGACAGGCGGCUCCCUCGCCGGUCUCCUCUAGGCUCCGGCCGGGCGAGCUUGCUCUCUGCCCCUCUCCAACCCCGAGCCCCUGGCGCCUAGCCGUCCCCAAGCAGCCGCUCCAACAAAGCCAGAGGCCCGGAGACGACCCGGCGAGGGACUGGGAGUGGCAGCGGAGACCCUAGAGCCAGAAGGAGGCGUCCCCUCGGCGGGGCGAGUACAGUGGGAAGGGGCAGCGGGGAUGUAGCGGGGAGAGAGAAGGGAAGAAAGUGUCCUGCUCUAGGCGCGAACGUCUUCCUGGCUCGUCCUCGCUCCCCUUCUCCCCCGGCCCGAGCGCGUCCCGUGUCCCGGUGGGAAUUGGCAAGCGGGGGAGGGCGGAGAGGAGAGGGGACGCGGUGGCCUGGCUAGCGAGCCGCUCCCUUACCUCUGUCCAGGGUGAGCGGCUGGACCACUGUCAAUGUCGCCAUGUCUGCCGUGGGAGCCGAAGUGACGCUCGGCUUCAGCAUCAGCAACCGCUCGUAAUCUUUCAGUUGCGGUGCGGAGCUGAGCAGGUAUCCGAGAGCGACUGCAUCGCCGGGCUCUGGGAGCGAAGGCUCUGCCCUGGAACUUUGCU